This 199-nucleotide ribosomal RNA is filed under the name uncultured bacterium. Its description in RNAcentral is "16S ribosomal RNA". It matches the Rfam family "Bacterial small subunit ribosomal RNA", at positions 335 to 526 of the family's 1533-position model. The record is from RNAcentral.
ACUCCUACGGGAGGCAGCAGUGGGGAAUAUUGGACAAUGGGCGAAAGCCUGAUCCAGCCAUGCCGCGUGUGUGAAGAAGGUCUUCGGAUUGUAAAGCACUUUAAGUUGGGAGGAAGGGCAUUAACCUAAUACGUUGGUGUCUUGACGUUACCGACAGAAUAAGCACCGGCUAACUCUGUGCCAGCAGCCGCGGUAAUAC